UAUUCACUUUGGAAUAAAACGAACGAAACCCCACCCUGUGGGCUCCGUCCCUGCCGCGCCAGGCCCCCGCGCCUCCAAACUGUGCUCCCGGGAAACCAGAAGUUUACUAGUGUGUUUGUUUCCCGCGCCCGCGCACCUCGAAACCGAAAGCACCACUGGCUGGGCCCGAGUCCUGCUCGGAGCUACCAGCCGAGCGUCCCCGCCGCCAGCGCGCCGAACUCGGAUGCAGUUGCCUUCCCUGCCGCGCCGGGCCGGGGGCAACAGUGAGCUGCGGCGGCGGCGGGAAACCGAGGCCCUGGCGGGGAGGUCGCUCCAGCUCGGGGUGGGAAAACCGGGAAAACAGCGGCAAAGUCUCCUCAGAAACUCUUCCGGGAGGGUUCGAGGACGGUGGAAUACGGCUUGUAGGAAGAGUGAAAUGCAGACCGUUCGCCUGUACCAGGAUGGCCGAGUGGUUAAGGCGUUGGACUUAAGAUCCAAUGGACAAUGUCCGCGUGGGUUCGAACCCCACUCCUGGUAGAUGUUUGCUUUUACGGUUUUUUUAACUUAAAAAUUUUAUUUCUUUUUAAAGUAUACAUUUCACUGAGCACACCACGCCUGGGGCCCAAGAAUUCUGUCUUCUGGCUGGGAGAGACGCACCCUUCUCCCACCUCCCUCCGACUCGCAUAACGCUCGGCGUCGCUUCCCGCGGGCGGAAGACGACUCGGCGCGCGGGGUGGGCGGGGGCUGGAAGGGGGGCCGGAGGGCGUCUCCCCGGCCGGGGCUGCGCGGCGUCAGAGGCUCGCGGGGCCGAGGCGGGGUCGGGACUCGGAACUCGGGACUCGGCUGCGGAGCGGGCUCCGCUUCCCCGCUGCGGAGCCGGGGCGGGCGCCUCCGAUGGGAGAGCACAGUUAGCCCCCUCCGCCGAAAAGUCAAGGCUAAACCACCUUUUUCCGUUUCGCCAAAAUGAAUUGUGUGCGCACAAUUCUUCCAUUAGCUCCUUGAAGGCGGAGACAGUGGGCACCCGGCUCUAAAAUGGACUCUAGCUUGCAUCCGGCUUAGAAUUUUAAAAUACCAAUGGCAUGGUCUCGUUGUUUUCUUCCUUCCUUUUUUUUUUUCUCAAGACUUUUUAAAAUAAUCUCAAACCUAGAUUUAAAGUAAAUUAAAGUAGAUUAAGGUAAUCUAAAACCUAGAGGAAAAAGUUGCAACUACAGUGCAAAGAACACUUUAAAAAAAAUCAUUGGUCAGUAAGAUACCGACUAGAUGCUCCAAUACAACCAUUAAAAUAAGGAAAUUAAUAUUGAUAAUUUACUACAUCUAGUCCCUGAACCUCUUUCAGUCACCACUUGGCGUGUAUAGUAAAUUCUCCUGUUCAGAGUAAUGUACUGAAUUUACUUGUCACACCUCCUUAGGCUUCUUGAAUCUGUAACAAUUUCGCAGUGUCUCCCGACUGCCAUGAUCUUGACACUUGUGAAGAUGACAGGCCAAUCACUGUGGAGAAUGUCCCUUUGUCAGCUUGGGUUUGUCGGAUUAGAUUCAGGUUGUGCUUCUGGAGCAAGAGUAUGGCAGAAGUGAUGCGGUGUUCACACUCCAUCAGGGGGGGAGUGAUUUUGAUGUGUCCUGUUAACUGAACUUAAUUCACUUGAUUAAGCCUCUCUGCCAACUUUCACCACUAUAAAUUCACUCUUUCCCCCUUUGUAAUUAAUAUAUAUUUGGGGGAAAUGUUUUGAAGCUAUCUUUCCCCCUUUGUAAUUAAUAUAUAUUUGGGGGAAAUGUUUUGAAGCUAUAAAAAUAUCCUCUUACUCAUCAAACUUUCCAUUUGAUUCAGUUAUUUCUGGAAUCAUAAGUAAUGUAAGUAUGCACUUAUGGUGCAUACUAUUUUAAUAAAUGGUUGCAAUCCAUUCUAUCUUUGUUCAAUGAUCAGUGUCCCAGAUUUGGCCAGUGGAAAUCCAUCGGAGCUGACCUUCAACAUGUCUCCAUCAUUCUUUAGCACUUCCAUCCUUCCUGGUCCAAGAUAUUCCAUGCUUACCUUCGAUUUUCUGUGACCCAGCCCCAGAGUCAGCCCUUUUCAAAAGAUCCCUGAUUCCCUUUUCCCAGGAGAAAAGUCGUUAGAAACCAAGAUCUUAGUGCUAGACAAGCUCAUUGUUUUGAUGUGUUACUACUGUUCCCAGGCCCUCUGAGUGGACAGAAUUAGGAAGUAAUGUGUGUAUACACAUCUAUAUUUGUCUCUUUACAGCCAGGAGUUUAUACUAAUACCUCCAAUUCUGAUGCAACAUUACAGAUUUUGUUUUAGUUUUUCUAUCCAUAUUUGUAAUUCCCUAAACUUGCCACCUGCCAAAGUAAAAUUUACCUUGCUUGAGCCUAUCAACAGCUUUAGAAUUGAAUUGUUCAAGAAGGGAAGGAAAGAGGUAAAGAAAGAGUGUCUAAGUAGUUUAGAAAUGAGCAUCCUGCCAGCGUCUGAGAACUGGCUAUAAACCAGUCACUGUUAGACACCUGGGAUGUGCAGAUAAAUAACUCAGCAUCUGUCUCAAGGAGCUCAGUUAGUGAGAGAGAGAUUUUAAUGAAUCACGCUUAUAAUGAGAAAACAUGAAUUAUGUCCUAGAUGCUAAAGGAGCAGUGUGGGAAGCCCUAACUCUUUACCAGAAGAGUCAGCUUUAGUUGGGAACUGAAGGAAGAGAAGUAGGGCUCUGGGAGGUGGAAGGAGAGAGGUGCAGGUGGGGUAAGCCAUCUUGAGACCAUGCUAAGUAUGGUCUCUGCAGUCCACUGAAGGAUUCGAAACAAGAAGCAACCUGAUUAGUGUUGCCUUUGGAAGUAUCUCUAUCAACAUGGAAACUCUUGGUCCAUCUAUAUAGGUUUGGGAGAGGGGGGCAUAUUGAAUUGGAAGGAAAUAUUUUUGGGUGAAAAUUAUUUAAUUCAGUCAAUAGCCAGGUCAGCUGAACUCAGUCUACCUCUUUCUUCCACCAUAAAGGCCAAGCAAGAGAUAAACUAUAUUGAUUUGAAACUUUUCCAGCCUGAACAUAAGGACCUGUGCUUAUUUAAGUGCUUGUAUUACUAUGUUCAAGCACAAAUAUAGAACAGUAGUGGCAAGAAUAGGCAAAAAGCAGUGUGGGGUUUACUUUGUUUCUUUAAAACUAUAUUGUAAAUCAGGCUUCUAGUUUGUAUUAACCAGUUACUGUGCAUUAGCUGAGAUGGUAAAAAACUCGUGAAUAUUCUUCUAUGAGACUGCUGAGAUUCUGCCAGAUUACUCUGAGAUGCCACAAAGAUGGAUGAAAGGAUGCCGAAAGACUGCUUGUCUAGAAACAAGAGAAUCUAUCAGAUAGAUCCUAGCACACUGCACAAGUUUUCUACUGAUUAGUUGUAUGGCCUACUUAGCCAUAAUCUUCACAUGCCAAUUUAGACGGAAUCUUUUGCUUUACUAUUUUCUUCUCUACAAAAUGUUUUAUCACUGGUUUUCUCUGAUUAGCAGGAUUCUCUAACUGAAUUUAAAAUUUUGUUUUAAUGUUGAUUUAUUUAUUUUGAGGGGGUGGGGAGGAGCUGUGGGAAAGGGAGAAAGAGAAUCCCAAGCAGGAACCGUGCUGAGCACAGAGCCGGACUCGGGGCUCAAUCUCAUGAAACGUGAGAUCAUGGACUGAGCCGAAAUCAUCAGACACCUAACCACCUGAGCCACCCAGGCGCCCCACUAACUGAAUUUUGAUUUAAUGCAGCAAACAUUGAGAAUGCGAUUCAAUUUAUAAAAGUUCAAAUCGUGUGGUGACUCAGUAGAAAGAAUCGGGGCUUUGGGGUAAGACAGGUUUGCCAAUUUUCUUAGGGUACUAGUCUCCCUUUUCUCAUUCAAAAUUGGGAAGAUAAUAUUUACCCCCACUGGGUAGUUGUAAGGCUGAAUUAACUAUAAUAAUGCCUUAUUAAUUAUAAUAAUCAUAAUAAGUAUUAAUAAUAUUACUAAUGUUAGUUAAUAUUGUUCUCAUAAUAUUGCCUUCUCACAAAAGUAAGUGUUUCAAAUCUCUCAGAUGUCUUCCCUUUUCUGAAGCCAUCCACUGUGGGAGGUACAGAAGAACUACAUUGUGCAAGUUGGAAGGAGUCUUACCUUGCAUGUAAAGACCACUUUACAAUUUUUCAAAAACACUUUUACAUUCACAAUCUCCUUUGACAGACAAGAUCAUACAAACUCAUUGUACCUAGGUGGUAGAUACAAUUAUACACCAGCUUCUUCAACAGAUGUAAAAAAGUAAUGUUUUCUUUCACUCAAAAUUACACAUAUAGAGCCAGAGAACAUCAGUAGCUCUUAAAAAUUGAAAUCCUGUCUUACAAUGUAGCAGAAUCUUUACUUUCCUUUGAAACAUAGACUUGUUAUAUUAGACUCUUUUUUUUUAAUUCUUAAAAGAUUUUGAAUUUAAAUUUGAACAAUUUGUAGGUUUACCACCACUAAGCCUAGACUGAUUUUCCGAUAAUUAUUUUAAUAAUAAGAAAUUAAGUCAUUACUUAAUUUGGGUUAUAAAUUAAGGGUAUGGAUUUGUAAGCAUUCUCUUUAUUGGUUUGAACUAGUUGUAACUUAUUCAAAACGGAUUAUUUCCUUUUGGGCUUAACACGGAACUCUGGAAGACUGUUGCCAAUAUAUUUAAACAGUGACACCUACUGGUUACUUUGAGGCACAUUUAUGUGUUAAAUUCUGUCUGCCUUCUAGGGACUAUAAAAUCCUGAUAAAUUGUUGUUCAUAGUCACUGUGUUUAGGAGCACAUUAAGGCUAUGUCUAAUCCAGCCAGUAUUCUGACUUUCUUUUUUCUCUUUCAAUCAUUGAUAAUAAAUCUUCCACUGAAAAGAUUCGCGAAUCACUGACACAAUUUGCGUGAGCCGUUCAUUGUUUUGAUUGUGUGAAUAUGGCCUUUAUCUCAUCAUAUCCAUCAUAUUUAGUUCAAUAUAAUAUUUAUUUUCAAACUCAGAAACUAUGAAGUUGAAGAGGAAUAAAGAUUUGGGUUAGCCACUAACUUUAAAACACAGAGGUCAUACCCAAUUUGAGAAAUCCUGAACAAGAAGCUUUCUUUGUCCUUAGUACCAAGUUUGAAUUUGGAUAUCUUGAUUAUUCCUUUUGUGUCACAUUUUGCUUUUAGAUACAAUUGCAGCUAAUUAAUGAACAAGUUGAAUGCACAUUUGCUAAUUGUUCGGGUGAGAUAAAUGACAACGCCUUGAAUUUUCAUGAGUCUGUUCUGUUACAAAGAUGCCAUGUAAGAGUCAGAGAACAUAAUUCCAGGUUCUCUGUAUCUUCGCUACUGCUGGAUAGAAGGCCAUUAUGACCCACUUGGUCCAUUUGUGAACUACCUGGUUUCAUUUUCAUCUAAAUAGAUUUUGAUGUCUCUGAACCACUUAUCGGAAUGCUGAGCAGAGAGGCAGUGAUUGUACCGGAUCGUUACUGAAGCACAAACUGUGCCUAACAGUGUAGCUCUAGCACAUUGGAUGCACUAUAUAAAUGCCCAUGGAAGAAACAACCAACCUUGAAACCCGCAGGAGUAUAUUUCACUGUUCAUCUAUUAAUUGUACACAUGUUAACUCUCAGGAUAUGUGUUUUAUUUUUUUAAACUAAUUAAUUAAUUAAUUAAUUAAUUUUUUAAUUUGCAUCCAAGUUAGUUAGCAUACCAUACAACAAUGAUUUCAGGAGUAGAUUCCUUCAUGCCCCUUGCCCAUUUAGCCCAUCUUCCCUCCCACAACCCCCCCCCCCACCCAAGCAACCCUUUGUUUGUUCUCUGUAUUUAAGAGUCUUUUAUGUUUGUUCCCCUCCCUGUUUUUAUAUUAUUUUUGCUUCCCUUCCCUUAUGUUCAUCUGUUUUGUAUCUUAAAUUCCUCACGAGUGAAGUCAUAUAUUUGUCUUUCUCUGACUAAUUUCACUUAGCAUAAUACCCUCUAGUUCCAUCCAUGUAGUUGCAAAUGGCAAGAUUUCAUUCUUUUGAUGUGUGUAUAUAUAUAUACGUAUAUAUAUACGUAUAUAUAUAUACACACAUACAUACAUGACUGUAUAUAUAUAUAUAUACAUACAUACACACACACACACACACACACACACACACACACACGACAGCUUCUUUAUCCAUUCAUCAGUCAAUGAACAUUUGGGCUCUUUUCAUACUUUAACUAUUGUUGAUAGUGCUGCUAUAAACAUGGGGGGUGCAUGUGCCCCUUUGAAACAGCACACCUGUAUAGGAUAUGUGUUUUAAAAUGUACCCAGAAUUUGUUUUAAUCAAGUAUGGUUAGACACACAGGAAUGACUGACAUAAAGGAAUGGCUGACAUAAAGGAAUAAUUUUUGAUGCUCACAAAUUCCUAGAAACAAGAGUCACGGCCUGCCGUAUAGGUAGGUCAAGAAGCAGAAGAAACAAGGGAAAGCAUGGGCAAAAACCUUUAUUGUGGUUUUCACAGGAAGGCAUUCAUGAGGCAGGGUAAGCAGGCUUAGGAUUGGCUAGUUUGAAUAAUUUGAGCAGGCUCUGAAGUUGUAGGAGCUAUUUGAGUUAUACAAGGUCUCUAGGAAUUAGCUAACCCUGGGAGAGGCAGUUCCUCCAUGAUCAGCAAGGUCCCAGGUGCCAAAAUGUCGGAAAUAACAGAAAAUAGGAAAAUACAGUUAAUUUAGUAUGGGUUCGGGCAUUCUCACAUCUCCUUUCUUCUCGUUCUCCUUCUUUUGCAGCUGGGGUCAAUCUUAUCUGAUUAGAAGAAUCAGGAUCCAGAAGCCCAAAGAGGCAAACAUGUAAGUAGUUUUUGAGUCAUUUCCAUCUGAGUGUGGCUAUACAACAUACUUGUGCAAAUCAUAUCUCAAAUUUAUCUUUGGGUUUAUGUUGUCUUUUCAGCCAUCUUAUUCAUGGCUCUGGUAUAGUAAGACUCAUAGUUACUGAAAAAGGUAGCUUUUUAAAUUGCAUUGAAAAGAGGAAUCAUUAAGUUGAAUAUCUGUCUCAGUUCUACAAUCUACUUUGUACAUACACACAGAAGUAUGUGUAUUUGUGAAAUACACAGCACAGGUCUAAGAGGCAACACAGAGGCAACUCAGAACUGUGAAUAGAAGUCAGCCAGUCCAAAUUUCAAUCCCAGCUCCAACCCUGAUUAGCAAUGUGACUUUGGAGUGGUUAUUUAGCUUCUCCAAGUCUUUUGUUUUCUCAUCUAUAAAAUGGGGGUGAUAAUAGAAAUACCUAUCAAAUGAUGUCCUGUGAGAGUUAUAUGUACCGUUGACAAAGUGCUUAGAAAUUGCCUGGCAUUUGGAUGAUUGAUAGAUUAAACUAUUGCUAUACUUCAGUGAUUCUUGCAAAGUGUGCUUAUGGAUUGACUACAAGACCAGUUUUGCUACAACGGUAAAAGUUGUUCAUGGAAUUGAUUCUGUUAGAUAUACAUUGUAUUUGCCAUAGCAAUUGUAGCCAAGGAAGAUCAUUAGCAAAUGAUACAAUUUUUAAAAGACAUGAAAUUUGGGAGAGGGGCAUAGAGGCAUAGAUUGCAUUUUUCAGAUUUGUUCAUUAAACUUUUUUUCCUUUUAAAAGUCUUUAAAUGCCUAGCUUUCCACCAUCAGUAAUCUUUUCUUAAACAAAACGAGUAGAUCCUUGAAUAAUUUUU
This 7552-nucleotide transfer RNA is filed under the name Lynx pardinus (Iberian lynx). The stretch from base 435 to 516 matches the Rfam family "tRNA". The record is from RNAcentral. Lineage: Eukaryota; Metazoa; Chordata; Mammalia; Carnivora; Felidae.